This 433-nucleotide ribosomal RNA is filed under the name uncultured bacterium. RNAcentral describes it as "partial 16S ribosomal RNA". It matches the Rfam family "Bacterial small subunit ribosomal RNA", at positions 29 to 507 of the family's 1533-position model. The record is from RNAcentral.
AGCGAACGCUGGCGGCAGGCUUAACACAUGCAAGUCGAGCGGGCCUUUCGGGGUCAGCGGCGGACGGGUGAGUAACGCGUGGGAACGUGCCCUCUGGUUCGGAAUAACUCAGGGAAACUUGAGCUAAUACCGGAUACGCCCUUUUGGGGAAAGGCUUGCUGCCGGAGGAUCGGCCCGCGUCUGAUUAGCUAGUUGGUGAGGUAACGGCUCACCAAGGCGACGAUCAGUAGCUGGCCUGAGAGGAUGAUCAGCCACACUGGGACUGAGACACGGCCCAGACUCCUACGGGAGGCAGCAGUGGGGAAUAUUGGACAAUGGGCGCAAGCCUGAUCCAGCCAUGCCGCGUGAGUGAUGAAGGCCUUAGGGUUGUAAAGCUCUUUUAUCCGGGACGAUAAUGACGGUACCGGAGGAAUAAGCCCCGGCUAACUUCGUG